Non-coding RNA from Podarcis lilfordi (Lilford's wall lizard), 143 nucleotides. The record is from the annotation of a GenBank genome assembly. NCBI's taxonomy places the organism in Eukaryota, Metazoa, Chordata, Lepidosauria, Squamata, Lacertidae.
GCACGGGGCGUAAUCCAGAGGGCGCCCCGUGCUGCAGGCUGCUGCCUGCAAGUCUUGCGAGCCCGCGGGAACUCCCCCCCGGGCACGCAAGGCUUGCGGACACCUGCUUGAAGCACAGGCAUCCUCCGGAGGACGCCCCGUGC